Molecule: small RNA, 3388 nt
Filed under: Pongo abelii (Sumatran orangutan)
Lineage: Eukaryota; Metazoa; Chordata; Mammalia; Primates; Hominidae
Description: retained intron
Source: RNAcentral
GAAGCAGAAGCAGGCUGGAGGGGGCCAGGGGCCUGCUAAGCUGGGUCCCAGGAGAAGGAUACCGUUUCCAUCCCUCAAGCACCCAUACAAGUUUAUAGAGGGAAACAGCACAAGCUGCCCUCUGGUGGCAGAUGCUUGAAAUUCCAGCAGAGGCCCAUCUGUCUCACAGGAUGGGUCAAGGCCUGUCUAGGAAGGCAGGGAAGUCUUUCCUCGUGUCUGGCCAGCAGCCAGACUGCUAACAGCUAUCUCUCCCAACCACAGGCCCAGCCCUCCUCUCUACCCCCUGUCCCCUUCCUGCGGAUAUAGACAGCACUUCCCUGCCCCCACUGCAGCCCCUGGCGCCCCCUACCCCAGGUUCACCCACCCAUCCUUGAUGCUAGGUUCUGGUGUACCUGGUCACCCAGCAGCCAUCCCCCACCCGGCAAUUGUGCCCCCCUCAGGGAAGCAGGAGCUGCAGCCCUUCGACCGCAACCUGAAGACACAAGCAGAGUCCAAGGCAGAGAAGGAGGCGAAGAAGCCAACCAUCAAGAAGCCCCUCAAUGCCUUCAUGCUGUACAUGAAGGAGAUGAGAGCCAAGGUCAUUGCAGAGUGCACACUUAAGGAGAGCGCUGCCAUCAACCAGAUCCUGGGCCGCAGGGUGAGACCAUGGGCAGGUGGGCUGGCAGGGAUGCUCCCCGACCAUCUUCAGCCUGCAGCCUGCUGACUCCCUGAUGCACCCCACCUGCCCCCCUUCCCUGUUGCAGUGGCACGCGCUGUCGCGAGAAGAGCAGGCCAAGUACUAUGAGCUGGCCCGCAAGGAGAGGCAGCUGCACAUGCAGCUAUACCCAGGCUGGUCGGCGCGGGACAACUACGUGAGUGCCUAGUGACACACAGCAGGGGUGGGCAGGGGACCCUUCGAGAUACCAUGCCCCAGGCCACAAUCUCGGCAAGGAACGCAGAACUACUGUCCUGAAGGCACCGAUGAGGAAGGGCACGGAGGGUCCAAGGCCUCCCAUGGCUGCCUCAGAAGAGGACAAGCCCACAUCCUAUUCUCCACUCCAGAAUAUGCUCACACAUGGGCUGUUACCCAACAUUUGAUUGGGCCACAUGGGCAGAAGGGGAGAAAGGGGUCUGGAAGUCACCUCCUUCCAUUCAAAUUGGAGACCAGAUUGGGGUGAGGGAAGAGCUUCUAAAUGCACUCCAUAGCAGCCUAGCAAGAACAGCAAUCAAGAAACACCAGCAUCCCCAAGGGGAAGAAGAAGAGGCGGUCGAGGGAAAAGCACCAAGAAUCCACCACAGACCCUGGCUCGCCUAAGAAAUGCCGUGCUCGCUUUGGCCUCAACCAGCAGACGGAUUGGUGUGGUCCGUGCAGGAGGAAAAAGAAAUGCAUUCGGUACUUACCCGGAGAAGGCCGCUGCCCCAGCCCCGUUCCUUCCGAUGACAGUGCUCUAGGCUGCCCCGGGUCCCCAGCUCCCCAGGACUCACCCUCAUACCAUCUGCUGCCCCGCUUCCCCACAGAACUGCUUACUAGCCCUGCGGAGCCGGCACCUACAUCCCCAGGUCUCUCCACUGCUCUCAGCCUCCCAGCCCCAGGACCCCCACAGGCCCCCCGCAGCACCCUGCAGAGCACACAGGUACAGCAACAGGAAUCUCAGAGACAGGUGGCCUAGCAGGCACAGGACAUCUGGCUGCCUCCAGGAGCCUACCCCUGAGAGAAAGCGACAGAGACCCAGAUCUCAUGGAAACUGGCCAGGGGUCCUGUUAACGUCAUCUCAGGGUCCAGACCCUGAAGAUUUCAGAGGCUGCAGAACUUCUGCCUGAACCUGGGGCCAUCGAUUCAAAUUGCUCCAAGUGGUGGGAAUCAGAUCUGUGUUGAUGUGUCAUCUAAUUAAGGGAAUCCCUUGUACCUAUGGCUGCCUGCAUCUAUUCUUUGUACCAUCUGCCUUGCCAGCCAGAAGCCUCUGCCUUCCUAGCUUUUCUGCUAUAGGUCAGAGAUGGGCUGAACUGAGCCUAGCUACCUUCUCUACCCAUCUCCCCCAUCCCCCACUGCCACACCCUCCCCAUUCAGACACUUCAUGGACCAAGAAUGAGCUGGUUUGUCAAACAUGUGAGCAUGGUCACAACCACAAAGCUCAAGAUGACAACUCUUCUCUUUUAAGGAAAUGGAGAAGCUCUGUUUAUAAAAACAAAAACAAAACCAGCUGCUACUCAUAAGUUGGACCAGAGGAAGCCCCUUACUAUGAUCUCAGGAGCUUGCAAGAAGCAGGAAGGGGAAUGGAAUAGGUUAAGUUUAGGCCUAUCAACCUAAGCAGCAGAAAUAAUCUGACACUACCUUAUCAGGCAAAUUGGGGGAGGGGAGGGUGUAUCUAGCUCUAGUUCAAAUUAUUUGGAAGUGUUCCCUGAGAAACUCACCAGCCUAAGAAGCUCUGAUACCAAGGCCCCAGGCUCGUCACUAGCAGCUGCAGUCAAUAGUUCAAAGAAGUCAUGGCCCAAAUCCAGUGUGCACCCCUCCCCAUUCACAGAGCCUUUUUCACAAUUCCAUUUCCAGUUCAUCUAUGGCAGUCCAGCCAGCUCCUGGGCAGCUGUGAGAUGGCAAACCCAAAACCUCAUGACAGCCAGAGCCUGUCUUCCAGCAUUCAAUCCAGGCCGGCUCCAGUUUCCCCAUGGGGCUGCGGGACAGAGGACCAUUACAACUAGAUCAAGGAGCCCAGAAAACCUCCAGUAGUGGACAACAGGUUUUCACCAUAGCCUACAUUAACCCAUUUUUGAGCCAAGCUUCAACCCUGAGCCUUGAAAAACAAGUCGUUUUUUUAAUUUAAUUUUUGUUUUUUGCCUCCUCACAUAGCCUAAAUCCAAAGAAAAAGGGCUGUCGGGCCAGGCGCAGUGGCUCACACCUGUAAUCCCAGCACUUUGGCAGGCCGAGGCAGGUGUAGCACCUGAGGUCAGCAGUUUGAGACCAGCCUGGCCAACAUGGUGAAACCCUGUAUCUACUAAAAAUACAAAAAUUAGCCAGACGUGGUGGUGCGUGCGUGUAAUCCCAGCUACUUGGGAGGCUGAGGCAGGAGAAUCGCUUGAACCCGGGAGGCGGAGGUUCCAGUGAGCCGAGAUGGCGCUACUGCACUCCAGUCUGGGUAACAGGGAGACUGCAUCUCAAAAGAAAAAAAAAAAGGCUGUCCAUUUACUCACACACCUUUCAAAAAAAAGGCUUUAGUUCCUACUUUAGCCACUGGUUUCUCAGAAUCCAAAGAUCACAUAUUCUAGUGUAACACUGCAAGAAGUCUUGAGAAAAAGAUUAUUGUAGUGUUCAAAAUAUUUUUGUAUUGUUAAUGCAUCAUCAUAGAAAAACUUUUUUAAACAUGAGAAUAAAGAUACUUUUUACUGGGUUUGUUUUUCAAAGCCUGACCCUGAG